CCUACGGGAGGCAGCAGUGAGGAAUAUUGGUCAAUGGACGAGAGUCUGAACCAGCCAAGUAGCGUGAAGGAUGACUGCCCUAUGGGUUGUAAACUUCUUUUAUAAAGGAAUAAAACGAGGCACGUGUGCCUUUUUGCAUGUACUUUAUGAAUAAGGAUCGGCUAACUCCGUGCCAGCAGCCGCGGUAAUACGGAGGAUCCGAGCUUUAUCCGGAUUUAUUUGGUUUAAAGGGAGCGUAGAUGGGUUGUUAAGUCAGUUGUGAAAGUUUGCGGCUCAACCGUAAAAUUGCAAUUGAUACUGGCAGUCUUGAGUACAGUUGAGGUAGGCGGAAUUCGUGGUGUAGCGGUGAAAUGCUUAGAUAUCACGAAGAACCCCGAUUGCGAAGGCAGCUUACUAAACUGUGACUGACAUUGAUGCUCGAAAGUGUGGGUAUCAAACAGGAUUAGAUACCCUGGUAGUC
Molecule: ribosomal RNA, 460 nt
Filed under: uncultured bacterium
Lineage: Bacteria
Description: partial 16S ribosomal RNA
Rfam family: Bacterial small subunit ribosomal RNA
Source: RNAcentral